Cicer arietinum (chickpea) is the source of this 776-nucleotide long non-coding RNA. RefSeq lists it as uncharacterized. Lineage: Eukaryota; Viridiplantae; Streptophyta; Magnoliopsida; Fabales; Fabaceae. The record is from RefSeq and is a predicted model, not a curated record.
AAAAUUUACCUAAGUGAAAAAAGAAUACUCGUUGAUGUUAUAGUAAAGCUAAAUAAAAAGGAUACUUGUUGUUAGAGCUUGCUUUGAAAAAGAAUCUAACCAGCUGGUUUCUAGUUUAUUCUGUCUAGAUAAAAAGAAUACUUAACCUCUGCUCUAUUAAAUAUCAGUUUUCAAUACAUCAUUUUAACAAUAAACCUCUCAUCUUUAAACAAAUAAUAAGUAUAAUUUUUUAGUAUGAGAUCAGACUUCAAGAAAGCCACCAACAAAUACAAGGUAUCAUUUUUAGGAGUGAAAUCAAAUAUGUUAGCAGCUAGCAAUAAAAUGUUAAAGAUAUAGAGACUGAACCAAACGUCAGAUGCAGAUCCGUGUAUAACAACAAAGAAGAAGGCAGCGGUAGUGUAAUGGUUGACGGUUGGCGGCAGUUACUAGUGGAAGUUGAAAUGAAGUUGUGGAAGUUAAAAUUACGGAUCAUCCCUCAUUGGCUCAUUUGAUAUGUCACGUCCCUUGUGCACAAGGGCGGAGCUAGGAAUGAAAUGUCAAGGGGACCGAGUCUAACAAGAUCUUGAAAGCGUCCUACCACAAGAAAUAUUGAGAAUUUCAAAGAUAUGAGCUACCAACUAGGCAUGACAACAUAUCUUGCACCUGGAGAUGUCCAUCCAAACUUGUCUCAAAUUUAAUCUGAAAAAUUCGCUUUAAUUGAAUGAAGAUGCGGGAAAAACCCGCUUCACCCCACACCCAAGCCCGCCCCAUUAGUAACAAAACAAUUUACAUUUUGU